AGCGUAGAUGGAUGGACAAGUCUGAUGUGAAAGGCUGGGGCUCAACCCCGGGACUGCAUUGGAAACUGCCCGUCUUGAGUGCCGGAGAGGAAAGGGGAAUUCCCAGUGUAGCGGUGAAAUGCGUAGAUAUUGGGAGGAACACCAGUGGCGAAGGCGCCUUUCUGGACUGUGUCUGACGCUGAGAUGCGAAAGCCAGGGUAGCGAACG
Molecule: ribosomal RNA, 207 nt
Filed under: uncultured bacterium
Lineage: Bacteria
Description: partial 16S ribosomal RNA
Rfam family: Bacterial small subunit ribosomal RNA
Source: RNAcentral